AGCCCCGUGUUACACAAGAUUGCAAAUCUUGAAACGCAGAGUUACGUCUGCCGGGGUUU
This 59-nucleotide transfer RNA is filed under the name Uraeotyphlus gansi (Gansi caecilian). RNAcentral describes it as "tRNA-Cys". Lineage: Eukaryota; Metazoa; Chordata; Amphibia; Gymnophiona; Ichthyophiidae. The record is from RNAcentral.